AACGCAGCGAAGGGCGAUAAGUAAUGUGAAUUGCAGAAUUCAGUGAAUCAUCGAAUCUUUGAACGCACAUUGCGCCCUCUGGUAUUCCGGAGGGCAUGCCUGUUCGAGCGUCAUUACAACCCUCAAGCUCUGCUUGGUAUUGGGCUACACCCGACUGGGUGGGCCUUAAAAUCAGUGGCGGUGCCAUCUGGCUCUAAGCGUAGUAAUUCUUCUCGCUCUGGAGAUCCAGGUGUUUGCUUGCCAGCAACCCCCAACUUUAUCAAAGGUUGACCUCGGAUCAGGUAGGGGAUACCCGCUGAACUUAA
RNAcentral lists this ribosomal RNA (305 nucleotides) under uncultured fungus. RNAcentral's name for it is "eukaryotic LSU rRNA". The stretch from base 1 to 113 matches the Rfam family "5.8S ribosomal RNA", at positions 42 to 154 of the family's 154-position model. Lineage: Eukaryota; Fungi. The record is from RNAcentral.